This 162-nucleotide ribosomal RNA is filed under the name Capnobotryella sp. MA 4642. Its description in RNAcentral is "5.8S ribosomal RNA". It matches the Rfam family "5.8S ribosomal RNA". Rfam says of the family: 5.8S ribosomal RNA (5.8S rRNA) is a component of the large subunit of the eukaryotic ribosome. The record is from RNAcentral. Lineage: Eukaryota; Fungi; Ascomycota; Dothideomycetes; Mycosphaerellales; Teratosphaeriaceae.
AAACUUUCAACAACGGAUCUCUUGGUUCUGGCAUCGAUGAAGAACGCAGCGAAAUGCGAUAAGUAAUGUGAAUUGCAGAAUUCAGUGAAUCAUCGAAUCUUUGAACGCACAUUGCGCCCCCUGGUAUUCCGGGGGGCAUGCCUGUUCGAGCGUCAUUACACC